UGGUAAUUGGAAGAGCUUCUGGGUGU
Molecule: non-coding RNA, 26 nt
Filed under: Mus musculus (house mouse)
Lineage: Eukaryota; Metazoa; Chordata; Mammalia; Rodentia; Muridae
Source: RNAcentral